Molecule: ribosomal RNA, 555 nt
Filed under: Triticum aestivum (bread wheat)
Lineage: Eukaryota; Viridiplantae; Streptophyta; Magnoliopsida; Poales; Poaceae
Description: partial small subunit ribosomal RNA
Source: RNAcentral
UGGAAUGGCAGAUGUAUUAUCAGUGAGCACUACUUAAAACUGUUAUCUUUUCAGAGAACUUACUGGAAGCAAAGAGCUACAAUAAGAUGGGUCAAGCUGGGUGAUGAAAACACCAAAUUCUUUCAAGCAAAAGCUACAAUCAAAUACAGGAAAAAUCAUAUUAGUACCCUGCAAGAUGAAUCUGGGCAGGAGGCAACUGAGCAUCAAGCAAAAGCAGCAAUUCUUUGGAGAGCUUUUAAGGAAAGAUUGAGCACAUCUUCACCCAUAUUUGAGCCUUUUCCCUUGGAUAGUCUGCUGCACAAACAUGAGAAUCUAAAGGAGUUGGAAAGGCUUUUUACAAAAGAAGAAAUAGAUGUUGUGGUAGCACAACUAUCUUCUGACAAGGCAUCUGGGCCAGAUGGUUUUAAUGGGGCUUUCAUUAAGGCUUGCUGGAAUAUCAUUUCUGCAGAUUUUUAUGAUCUGAUCAAAGACUUUUAUGAAGGAAAUGUUAAUCUGCAGAGCAUCAACUCCUCAUUUAACACACUCAUUCCAAAAAAAAAUAACCCCAUGCUCCCU